AGUAAAUUGGUUAAGUUAGAAAGGGCGCACGGUGGAUGCCUUGGCACUAGGAGCCGAAGAAGGACGGGACUAACACCGAUAUGCUUUGGGGAGCUGUACGUAAGCGUUGAUCCAGAGAUUUCCGAAUGGGGGAACCCACUAUCUUUAGUCGGAUAGUAUCCUUACGUGAAUACAUAGCGUAAGGAAGGCAGACCCAGGGAACUGAAACAUCUAAGUACCUGGAGGAAGAGAAAGAAAAAUCGAUUUCCUGAGUAGCGGCGAGCGAAACGGAAAGAGCCCAAACCAAGAAGCUUGCUUCUUGGGGUUGUAGGACACUCUAUACGGAGUUACAAAAGAAAGCUAUAAAUGAAGCGGUCUGGAAAG
RNAcentral lists this ribosomal RNA (363 nucleotides) under Listeria marthii. Its description in RNAcentral is "partial 23S ribosomal RNA". It matches the Rfam family "Bacterial large subunit ribosomal RNA", at positions 1 to 349 of the family's 2925-position model. The record is from RNAcentral. Lineage: Bacteria; Bacillati; Bacillota; Bacilli; Caryophanales; Listeriaceae.